Apis dorsata (giant honeybee) is the source of this 2316-nucleotide long non-coding RNA. RefSeq lists it as uncharacterized. The record is from RefSeq and is a predicted model, not a curated record. The transcript has 9 exons. NCBI's taxonomy places the organism in Eukaryota, Metazoa, Arthropoda, Insecta, Hymenoptera, Apidae.
UAUUCUCGCUGGUAAUCGAUCCAUCCGCGAGAUCGAUCAUUUUUCUCCUUAAAAUCUUCAACAAACUACACAUGUGGAGAGAAAGCAUCAAGGAAAUUCCGACGGUGCUACUGAGAACUGUAUAAAUGAAAAAUCCAGCCAGAAGUUGCAGCAUGAAGAUCAUCUCGUAGUAUGGACUAACUAAUUCGUUAAAAAAAGAACAUGACCAAGAUACACGGAAUCACGAUACACAUUUGCAAGGAAAUGGAGAAAAAAAUUAUAAACCAUUUUCGUAUCUUCGAGCUUAAAGAAAAUUCAAUUGGCCAAGCACCGAUUAUCUUCAAAAACGGUUGCGCGUAGAACGCUUGCUUCAAAUCUUUUUCCACGUAUUUCGUUUCCAUUAUUUCUUUCCAAUGGUUGAAAGUUCAUGAGAUUGAAUGAUAUCAAUAACAUGAUCAUGCAAAUCCCGAUUUUCCCACUUGCAAAGCAUCUCGAUCUUUCUAUUGAUAUAACCUCGAAUCGCAGCAGUGCAUCAUUAUAGAAGCAAUCAACCUGAGCACGUCCAAAAUGCACGGAGCUAUGAUACAUAUUUGCAAGAAAAAGGAGAAAGAAAUUAUAAACCAUUUUUGUAUUUUCAAACUCAAAGAAGAUUCGAUAGCGAUUGGCCAAGCACCAAUUAUCUUCAGGAACAGUUGUUCAUGUAAGAAUCAGCAGAUGCGCAAAACGAUGGCAAAUUAUGAACUUAUACCUUGCAUGCACAAUCCAGAUUAGUUCCUGUGUUUACUGGUCAUAGAUGAUAUACAUCUGUUUUAUUAUUUGAAAAUAUUUUUUGAAAAAAUAUAACAUUGAUUGUAAUAUUUGUACGAUUAUAUAUAAGAGACUUAAUUAUUUAUGAAGUGUUGAACAAUCGUGAGAUUUAAUAAUAUUUGAGUUGUGAUAUUUCUUUGAUUAUAUUGCAGAGAACAUUUGUUAUUUUUAUAUCAUUAAAGUUUCCAAAGAUAAAGUUUCCAGUGAAUAAUUAUAAAUUAUAAAAUAAUUUUAAAAAAGAAAUUUACGACAAGACACAUAGAAAAUUUAGAUAUGCUGCUGAAGUUUUAAAAACCUACAAUAAUUUUUUCGUUUUCAAGAAUUUUUACAACAAUACGUUGAAAAUAACGUAAUGAGAAAAAUACAUUGGAAUUUACAUCACAAAAUACUCGAAGCGAAAGAUCUAACAUCUUGGCGCCAGACAGGCUUGAUGGUCGACUAGCUCUAAGUAUGAUUAUCCUUAUAUUUUUCGCUACUUCUGUCGGAAAAUCGUACCAUGGUAGAAAAUAUGAUGUUUGUCCUAUUCUUUCACUCUUUUUGAUUCAUAAAAUGACUUAUUAAAAAAGUACAAUUUAAUAUACGAAAUAAAAAAAUUAUAUAAAAAAAUAUACCUCUUGUUUGAGACGAUCACCAAUGAAUGAUAAUAUGAAAACAUUUACGAACAUUGACGUCACUAAAACAAAGUGAGAUUGAAUAAUGUCAACGAUGCGACCACGCAAAUCUCGGUUUUUUAAAAUCGUCUCGAUCCUUCUGUUGGUGACCUCGAAUAGACCGCAGCAAUGCAUCGUUAUAGAAGCGAUCAAGCUGUAGAUCCCAUAAUUCAAGGACAUUAUUAGAAAACUGGUGAACAUUUGCACGACAAAGGUUAUCUCGUAAGUUGGCGAAUCUUCGAUGACGAAGAAAACAUAAUCGCUCAAAUAUGGCAAAGGUAUCUGAGUACUGUUAUCAGCUUUGACGAUCUUCUCUGAUAUCAAGGGCAAAAUAAUGUGAUAGGGCAAGGCACCUCCGUAACCGAGGAACAGAUACACGAUUGUGAAGAUUCGACCGAUUUUCGCAGUAUUCAUCAUUACCAACCGAUCUUCUUCGCAUUCCACGUCUCUGUACUGUAUCUCCAUCUCCAUCAAGCAAAAUCUGAUCUCAUUUCUGUUAAUCAGAAUCGUCCAGAUCUUGAUGAUCGCCAAAAGGCUGAAAACCUGGGCGGCUAUCACCUUCAUAUAUUUGGUCAGAUUUUCGCAAUCGAAAAUAUUACCACAGGGUAAUAUUUGGGACACGUAAGUGCACAUUUUAUUACGUAAAAUAGAUUAUCUACGUAAGGAAUUAAAAGCAUCAUUACAGAGUAUCAUUUGCGGAAACCAUCGGCGUUACUAUUCGAUAUGAAUUGAAAAAGCCAAGCAUUUCCGAUAAAAAUACGAUGCUCAGUGAUUCUCCAACCCGUGCAGAGUAUCUAAAAUUGAUUUUUUAUCACGAAAUAAAAACAUACAACUAUAAAAAUCAAUAGCCAAUCGACAAAUAAUCUAUCAGACGCAUAAC